Molecule: ribosomal RNA, 253 nt
Filed under: uncultured bacterium
Lineage: Bacteria
Description: partial 16S ribosomal RNA
Rfam family: Bacterial small subunit ribosomal RNA
Source: RNAcentral
GACAGAGGGGGCGAGCGUUGUCCGGAGUCACUGGGCGUAAAGCGCACGUAGGCGGACUCUUAAGUCAGGGGUGAAAGCCUGAGGCUCAACCUCAGAAUUGCCUUUGAUACUGGGAGUCUUGAGUGUGACAGAGGUUGGUGGAACUGCGAGUGUAGAGGUGAAAUUCGUAGAUAUUCGCAAGAACACCAGUGGCGAAGGCGGCCAACUGGGUCAUGACUGACGCUGAGGUGCGAAAGCGUGGGGAGCAAACAGG